RNAcentral lists this ribosomal RNA (433 nucleotides) under uncultured bacterium. Its description in RNAcentral is "partial 16S ribosomal RNA". It matches the Rfam family "Bacterial small subunit ribosomal RNA", at positions 29 to 507 of the family's 1533-position model. The record is from RNAcentral.
AACGAACGCUGGCGGCAUGCCUAACACAUGCAAGUCGAACGAGACCUUCGGGUCUAGUGGCGCACGGGUGCGUAACGCGUGGGAACCUGCCCUUAGGUUCGGAAUAACUCCCCGAAAGGGGUGCUAAUACCGGAUAAUGUCUUCGGACCAAAGAUUUAUCGCCUUUGGAUGGGCCCGAGUUGGAUUAGCUAGUUGGUAGGGUAAAAGCCUACCAAGGCGACGAUCCAUAGCUGGUCUGAGAGGAUGAUCAGCCACACUGGGACUGAGACACGGCCCAGACUCCUACGGGAGGCAGCAGUGGGGAAUAUUGGAAAAUGGGCGAAAGCCUGAUCCAGCAAGGCCGCGUGAGUGAUGAAGGCCUUAGGGUUGUAAAGCUCUUUUACCCGGGAUGAUAAUGACAGUACCGGGAGAAUAAGCUCCGGCUAACUCCGUG